CAGGUGUCAAUUUUUCCUUAAAGCAUUUAGCCCAAAGCCCAUAAUCAGUUUCUUUCUUCCUUCUCCCUCCACGGUGACCAGCCGGAGUCGAAAUUAAUGGCGUGCAAGAAGCCGCAAGGGAACACUAAACCGGCGGCGAAUAAGCCGAACCAGAAGCGGAUGAGCAACGCCGAGCGGUCGGCGUACUUUGCACGUAGAGAAGCCGCCAAGGUUUUGCGUACUAUUCUACAAGGAGACUCUCGGCGUCGAGCCGUCGGGUCCAUCAAGUCGCUGGUGUAUAGUCCUUCCGUUAGGAACAAAAAAGCUACCUAUGCUUUGGUUUGUCAAACCCUCAAAUAUCUUCCCAUUAUCAAGGAUGUCUUUGACAUUGCCAAUGUGCUGAGUAGCAAGUGGAAGAGGCAAGAAGAAUUAAUGUAUAUAAUCUUGUAUGACAUUCUUUUUGGCCAGGAGGCUUUAUUAGCUGGUGAUGCAGAAAAAAUUCUUCUCCAGCGGAAGGAUGUGUUGCAGGCAGCUCUUGCCAAGCUUUUAGUGCGAAAGAAAGUAAAACAUGUCUCAGAUUUGAUGACUUCUUAUAAAAUCUCAGACCUUCCGAAACCUCGUUAUGCUCGUGUAAAUACUCUGAAGAUGGACGUAGAGUGUGCCCUGCUCGAAUUUAAGAAACAGUAUGAGGUCUGUCAGGAUGCCAUGGUUCCUGACCUGUUGAUUUUUCCACCAAGGACUGACCUGCAUGAUCAUCCUUUGGUGAAAAAUGGAAGUGUGUUUUUGCAGGGUAAGGCGAGUUCCAUGGUUGCAGUUGCUCUUGGGCCUAAACCCGGAUGGGAGGUCAUUGAUGCAUGUGCAGCACCAGGGAACAAAACUGUUCAUCUUGCUGCUCUAAUGAAGGGAAAAGGAAAGAUUAUUGCUUGUGAACUUAAUAUAGAAAGGGUUAAACGUCUGAAAGACACUGUUAAACUGGCUGGACCAACUAACGUGAAAGUCAAGCAUGAGGACUUCUUAAACUUGAGUCCUGAGGAUCCAGCAUACUCAAAGGUUCAAGCAAUACUUUUAGAUCCAUCAUGUUCUGGAUCUGGGACAGUUGUUGAUAGAUUAGAUCAUCUGCUCCCCUCAUAUACUGCAGCUUUGCAGAUUCCUCUGAUGUACAUAGACAAGAAAAGCUCGCUGCUUUCCAGAAAAAGGCUUUGGAACAUGCAUUAUCUUUUCCAGCUGUUGAGAGAGUUGUUUACAGCACAUGUUCUAUUAACCAAGUUGAGAAUGAAGAUGUAAUCAACUCUGUUCUGCCUCUUGCUUCUUCUUAUGGUUUUGAACUGACGACAGUCUUUCCCCAAUGGCCUCGCCGAGGUCAUCCAGUUUUUGAUGGAUCUCAACAUUUGCUGAGAACGGAUCUCAUAGAGGACAAGGAGGGCUUUUUUAUUGCUUUAUUUGUUAGAAAGGGAGCGAGCACUCCAGCCAAGCACAGCAGAGAUGUUGCAUACACUUUACGAGCUAUUCAACGAAGGAAGAAAAGAAGAAUAAAUUCUUUCUUCCACUUCAAAACUUUCGGUUUGUUCUUGCAGUCCUAGUUUAUACUUCUUUCAAACAGGCAAUUCACAAAUGAUAAAACCCCAGAGACAAUACCAGAAUUUUUGUCCAGAAAUGUAGUUUUGUGCCGAAGUUUUGUUAUUCCAUUUUCAGGUAUCUAAUUGUGUACUGAACAGUUAAAUGGCAAAAUCUUACCUGCAAUGGGCGUCUA
RNA transcript from Nicotiana tabacum (common tobacco), 1729 nucleotides. It is a transcript of the gene named 25S rRNA (cytosine-C(5))-methyltransferase NSUN5, with no coding region annotated. The record is from RefSeq and is a predicted model, not a curated record. NCBI's taxonomy places the organism in Eukaryota, Viridiplantae, Streptophyta, Magnoliopsida, Solanales, Solanaceae.